AAAGUCAAUUAUUACUUAACUUACACAUGCAAGUUUCCGCCUCCCUGUGAAAACGCCCUCAAACCCCUCACCACGGGACGAGGAGCUGGUAUCAGGCGCGAUAAUCUGCCCAUAACACCUAGCUCUGCCACACCCACAAGGGAAUUCAGCAGUGAUUAACAUUGAUCAUGAGCGAAAGCUCGACUCAAUUAAAGUAAAUAGAGCCGGCUAAUCUGGUGCCAGCCGCCGCGGUUACACCACAAGACUCAAAUUGACUUUUAUCGGCGUAAAGCGUGAUUAAAGUAAUUUUAUAACUAAGAUUAAACUAAAACUAAGCUGUAAUACGCCUGUUUCUGAGAAACCCAAGAACGAAAGUCAUCUUAAUCAAGUCACUUGA
Molecule: ribosomal RNA, 376 nt
Filed under: Amazophrynella bokermanni
Lineage: Eukaryota; Metazoa; Chordata; Amphibia; Anura; Bufonidae
Description: partial 12S ribosomal RNA
Source: RNAcentral